GUAAUAAGCAAAAGAGAGGUAGUUUUCAGAAUGGCUACAGAUAACAUAGGAUAUGCUGCAGCGAUUCAAAGGAAAUUGCAUUGGCUGGUGUAAAGGACUCCUGCCAUAGCUUUGUCAGUCACAUCCAAUAUCCUAUUAAGAUGUGAAGGUGUUUAAUUAGACUUACACAAUGGAAUCUUUGCUUGUUCAGCAUCUGAACUGAACGUAUGCUGUGUUGCUGUUUUAACAUAUAUAUACUUUCAUUAUUCUCAGCACAUAUUACAUUAGCAUCAACAUCUACAGAUUCCAGUAACCCCUUUAGAGGAUGACUGAUUUCUUCUGGUGUUCAGAGUCUAUUUCUCUUUCUAGCACCAUUUGAAAUCGGUUAUAGUGAUUGGGGAAGAGCACCGUGUAUAAGCCGAUCCAAAGCUGCAACUGUAUUUCAAAUAAAUUGUGUGCUUCAGUUGGUUGGAGAGCUGGAACUGCAAAAACCUGGAUUUGAAGGUCUGCUUCAAGGUGAAGAGACAGUGUCUGAAACUGGGAUAUGUCAGUUCUCAUCUGCAAGGUGGGGGGGUAGGAGCAGUCUACCUCACAAGGCUGUUGUGGAGACCAGUGCAAUAAAGAUUGCGGCGCAGUUUGCAAGUCAACCGCAGCAUAAAUUGUACCUGCCGUUAUUUUCCCUUUCAAAAGUUGCAUGCGUGUGCAGAAUCGUCUGGUUACGUGAAAGGAAUCCAUCAUGUCAAGGAAGAAUGUUGACUUGCGAUCUGCGGACAAUCAAAAGAUUGUGUGAGGUGCCAAUUACUGCAAGGCUCUUUCCCACCUCAAAAUGUUUCCCAGCACUGGCCCCAUUCUUUGCAAGAAUCUGCCUAGAAUAAUAGAAUCGUAGAGUUGCAGGGGACACUAAGGGUGAUCUAGUCCAACCGCCUGCAAUGCAGGAAUCUCAACUAAUAAUAAUAAUAAUAAUAAUAAUAAUAAUAAUAAUAAUAAUUUAUUAUUUAUACUCCACCCAUCUGGCUGGGCUUCCCCAGGCACUCUGGACAGCUUCCAACAAAAUAUUAAAAUACCAUAAUACAUCAAACAUUAAAAGCUUCCCUAAACAGGGCUGCCUUCAGCUGUCUUCUAAAGGUUUGGUAGUUGGUCUUCUCUUUGCGGAUGGGAGGGUGUUCCACAGGGAGGGCGCCACUACCGAGAAGGCCCUCUGCCUGGUUCCCUGUAACUUGGUUUCUCGCAGGGAGGGAACCGCCAGAAGGCCCUCAUCGCUGGACCUCGGUGUCUGGGCAGAACGAUGGGGAUGGAGACGCUCCUUCAGGUAUACUGGACUGAGGCCAUUUAGGGCUUUAAAGGUCAGCACCAACACUUUGAAUUGUGCUCAGAAAGGUACUGGGAGCCAAUGUAGGUCUUUGAAGACCAGUGUUAUGUGGUCUCGGCGGCCGCCCCCAGUCACUAGUCUAGCUGCCGCAUUCUGGAUUAGUUGUAGUUUCCAAGUCGCCUUCAAAGGGAGCCCCAUGGAGAGUGCAUUGCAGUAGUCCAAGCGGGAGAUAACCAGAGCAUGCACCACUCUGGUGAGACAGUCUGUGGGCAGAUAGGGUCUCAGCCUGCGUACCAGAUGGAGCUGGCAGACAGCUGCCCUGGACACAAAAUUGACUUGCGCCUCCAUGGACAGCUGUGAGUCCAGAAUGACUCCCAGGCUGCACACCUGGUCCUUCAGGGGAACAGUAACCCCAUUCAGGACCAGGGAGUCCUCCACACCAGCCCGCUCCCUGUCCCCCAAGAACAGUACUUCCGUCUUGUCAGGAUUCAACCUCAAUCUGUUAGCCUAGAGAAUCCAACCUCUGCUUAAAAACCUGCAAGGAAGGAGAGUCCACCAGCUUCCACAGGAGUCUAUUCCAUUGUCCAACAGCUCUGGCUGCCAGAAACAUCUUCCUGAUGUUUGGUCAGAAUCUGCUUUCUUGUAACUUGAAGCCGUGGGUUCGAGUCUUACCCUCCAGGAGCAGGAGAAAACAAGCUUGUUCCAUGUGACAGCCCUCGAGGUAUCUGAAGAUGGCUAUCGUAUCUCCUCUCCGUCUCCUCCAGGCUAAACAUGCCCAGCGGCUGCUAGAAGAUCCUUUGAGCUGGUGCUACCAAGGAAUUAAUGUGCAAAAAAUGUGCUCUGCCGCUGAGCUAUGUUCUCACCCCAACAUGAGCACAUGCAGCUAAAAUCUUUGAGGGUGUGCUGCCCUCUGGUGUUGCUUUUUCAUGCAGCAGCCUAGUCUUUAAGAAGGGUCCAUAUUCCGCCAGGGUCUCCACCCCAACAGAACUUCUGUAUACAUAAGCACGGAUCCAGACACCCACUCCAGUUUAGGGCAAUCAUCUACAGUUCCCAACCAGCUGACUCGCUGUCGCUUCAUGCUCCUAAACGCCCCCCUAAAACCACUGUCACAUUCACGUGAAACGUUUGAUUUGUUUUCUUUUUAAAAAAUUAUUUUUAUUAGCAAUUUCAACAUAACAAAUUAUGAAACCAUAUAAUCACAUACAUUAUUUUUUCCCUACCCCCACCAAAGACUUUGAUUUCUCAGCACAUAUUAUUCUCUGCGUAGCUGUCAACAUUUCCCUUUUUUUUAAGGGAAAUUCCCUUAUUCCGAAUAGGAUUCCUCACAAGAAAAGGGAAAGGUUGACAGCUGCGAUUCUCUGCAUGUUAUAAAAUUUUACAUAUCCUUACAUUAUCUAUCUAACAUCAACCAAUAAAUCUGUGUAUGUUUAUUCAAAACCUGCCAAGGAGUCCAGUUCAUUUUGUUGUCCUUUUAAAUAAUUUGUAAAAAAGCUCCCAUUCUUCCUUAAAACCACAGUUGUCCCGCAAUUUAUAUGUCAGUUUAGCCUACUUUGCAUAACUCAUCAGUUUUUCUUGCCACGUUUGAUUUGUUUUCAAUACGAAGCCAGCGUGGUGUCAUGGUUAGAGUGCUUGAUUGGGACUUGGGGGGGGGGGGGGAGAGACAAGGGUUCGAAUUCCCACUCAGCCAUGGAGUUCACUGAGUGUGACUUUGGGCCAGUUACUGCCUCUUAAGUCUCACCUCCCUCACCUUGGGUACCUUGGACAAAAAGGUGGGAUAUAAGUGCAACAGAAAGAGAGAGAUAGAUCUGUACUGUCUGUGGGUCUUCAGGGUUUUAGGUAGACAUGGAAUUGUAGAUUUAGAAGGGAUCCAAUGGUCAUCUAGUCCAACCCCCCCAUGGUGCAGGAAUAUCAGCUAAGGCAUCUGUGAAAUGGGGCCAUCAAACUUGUGCUUAAAAACUUGCAAUGAAGGAAAUGUUUCAAAAGGACUAGAGCAAAUUUAUAUGAUAUAUGAAAGAAUAUUGUAAACAUCUGAAAACGUUUGUAGCUUUGAGAUGAAAUGUUUUGUAAUGACAAUAUAAGGAACCGAUUUACAUUUAAUAAGAGGAAAUAUAAAAAUAAGAGAGAAGGUCAAAAGGUGGCUAUAGAAAUGCUAAGAAGGUAAAUAUGUACGGAAGUCAGAAAGAGGGGCGGGAGGAGGUUAAUGCUCGAAAAGAGCGAUGUUUGAGCUUAUUGAUUUAUGUAUGGAU
This is a non-coding RNA of Podarcis lilfordi (Lilford's wall lizard), 3534 nucleotides long. NCBI's taxonomy places the organism in Eukaryota, Metazoa, Chordata, Lepidosauria, Squamata, Lacertidae. The record is from the annotation of a GenBank genome assembly.